UACGUAGGGUGCGAGCGUUGUCCGGAAUUAUUGGGCGUAAAGAGCUCGUAGGCGGCUUGUCGCGUCGUCCGUGAAAACCUGCGGCUCAACUGCAGGCUGGCGGUCGAUACGGGCAGGCUGGAGUUCGGUAGGGGAGACUGGAAUUCCUGGUGUAGCGGUGAAAUGCGUAGAUAUCGUCUGGAAUGCCUGUGGUGAAGACGGGUGACUGGGCUGGUUCUGACACUGAGGCACGAAAGCGUGGGGAGCGAACGGG
RNAcentral lists this ribosomal RNA (253 nucleotides) under uncultured bacterium. RNAcentral's name for it is "partial 16S ribosomal RNA". It matches the Rfam family "Bacterial small subunit ribosomal RNA", at positions 524 to 776 of the family's 1533-position model. The record is from RNAcentral.